Long non-coding RNA from Helianthus annuus (common sunflower), 780 nucleotides. RefSeq lists it as uncharacterized. The transcript is spliced from 2 exons. The record is from RefSeq and is a predicted model, not a curated record. NCBI's taxonomy places the organism in Eukaryota, Viridiplantae, Streptophyta, Magnoliopsida, Asterales, Asteraceae.
ACUGAAAGAGCCUCUCUCUAGGUCCCUCUCUCUCUCCUCUCUCUCUCUCUAACACAAUCUGGAUGGGGGACGACAGUGAAGGUCCCUAUCUCUCACUCUUCUCUCUCUCUACCACAAUCUGAAGAGAUGACGGCAGUGAAGGGUGGUUGUGGUGGUGGGUUAGGGGCGGCGGUGGGUGAUUUUGUAGUGGGUGAAGGUGAGGGGGUGGUUGUGGUGGUGAGUUAGGUGCGGUGGCGGCAGUUGAUGGGUGAAGGUGAAGGGGUGGAUGUGGUGGUGGGUUAGUUCGACAACGGUGAGUGAUUUGGUCGCGACAGCGUUGGGUGGAGGUGAAGGGUGGUUGUGGUCGUAACGUUUAUGCCGUUUCACAGAAUAUUCAUAACUCAAAAUCUUACAAAACCAAAUUCCCCUCGUCGGCCGGUCUUCUUCACAUCGGAGCAUAUUCCGGCAGGUUCCAUUGUUGCUCGAAAACCAGAACGAAGGGGAAAAAAGUAUUCAAGGUGAAAUUGGAGUGGUGGGAGUUGUGUAGUGUGAAGAAUGGCGGGGAGUUUGAGUGAGGAAUCCGGGCAGCAGCGUUCCGGGGAGGCAAGUGAUGACGACUCAGACUGUGUAUUGGUCGUUCCACUUUUCUAGCAAGGUUCCGACAUCUCAGGCGAGCGAUGAUGGUGGCGGGUGGAGUUCUUGAAUUCCAAAUAUAAACAGAGAGAGAGAGAGUUUAUAUAUUUUUUUAUUUUUAAGUUUUGUAAAAAUAGUCCCUGAAUAAAAGUUCUUUACAAAAUAGUC